UACGUAGGGGGCAAGCGUUGUCUGGAUUUAUUGGGCGUAAAGAGCUCGUAGGCGGCUUGUUGCGUCGGCUGUGAAAACCCGCAGCUCAACUGUGGGCUUGCAGCCGAUACGGGCAGGCUUGAGUUCGGUAGGGGAGACUGGAAUUCCUAGUGUAGAGGUGAAAUUCGUAGAUAUUAGGAAGAACACCGGUGGCGAAGGCGGCCCACUGGUCCGGUACUGACGCUGAGGUGCGAAAGCGUGGGGAGCAAACAGG
Molecule: ribosomal RNA, 253 nt
Filed under: uncultured bacterium
Lineage: Bacteria
Description: partial 16S ribosomal RNA
Rfam family: Bacterial small subunit ribosomal RNA
Source: RNAcentral